RNAcentral lists this ribosomal RNA (253 nucleotides) under uncultured bacterium. Its description in RNAcentral is "partial 16S ribosomal RNA". It matches the Rfam family "Bacterial small subunit ribosomal RNA", at positions 524 to 776 of the family's 1533-position model. The record is from RNAcentral.
UACGGAGGGGGCAAGCGUUGUUCGGAAUCAUUGGGCGUAAAGGGCGCGUAGGCGGCCGGCCAAGUCGGGUGUGAAAUCCCUCGGCUCAACCGAGGAACUGCACUCGAUACUGGCUGGCUAGAGUCCGGGAGGGGAUGGUGGAAUUCCCAGUGUAGCGGUGAAAUGCGUAGAUAUUGGGAAGAACACCGGUGGCGAAGGCGGCCAUCUGGACCGGAACUGACGCUGAGGCGCGAAAGCGUGGGGAGCGAACAGG